Molecule: long non-coding RNA, 1665 nt
Organism: Pogoniulus pusillus (Red-fronted tinkerbird)
Lineage: Eukaryota; Metazoa; Chordata; Aves; Piciformes; Lybiidae
Exons: 3
Source: RefSeq, a predicted model, not a curated record
AGCUGCUGCAUUCUGCGGCGGUGCUUCAGCGGAGCAUGGGAUCGGCUGCCUGCCAGGCAGCAGCAUCACACCCUCCUAAAAACACCUGCUCCAUUACAGCACAGAAUAAAAUGAUUCCAGGGUAGGGAGGAUUUGUUUCUGUUUAGAGCAUCUCUUAUUACCGUUGGCUUGAUCCCGGUAAAGGCUACCAAGUCUCCUCCCCAGGGGUGGAGAGGGGCUAAAGAUGAUUUUCAACGGGAGAGGGAGCUCAGCCUGCACCAACUGCUGGGAAAACCACUGCUGGCCUCAGGCAGAAAAGAUGCCAAGGGAAAAGCUUUGCUCUCUGUUUUGCUCCCUGUGCGUUUUCACCUGUGUCUGCAAGAAUUUCACAGCCCAGCUGCUGUGAUUUGGGUUUAUAGAGCGAUGCUCUAUAAAUCUAAGAGUAAACCAAGCUUCUAUGCAAAGAAGCUUCUCUUACCCUUUGAAGAAUGAUGAAAGCUGUGCAAGACAGCCACACAGCCAUGUGUGCUGUGCUGAAAAAGAGAAGAAACUAAAGUUUUGAUGAGAUAAAAAUAGUGUUGACCUCAAGAGUCGUUGUUUUCUGAAGAGGACUGCAGGAACUGGGGCAGUUUCCUUCUUCAGAUCUCCUGGCCCAGAUCUCACAGAGCUAUUUCAGAUCACACACCACGUCUGGUUCAGGAGUUUUACCUUCAGCUCACAACAGGAGGGAUUUAAAUCUGCUGGUGUCAAUUUGAAGAAGAAGGAGAUGGGAGAUUUUUCAUCAUUUCUCUUUUCUCUGCUGGGGUAUUCUCAAGCACUAGGAAAUCAAUGCAAUCAAAAUGAUUGCCUAACUCAUCACUGAAACAACUCCUAAUUGCAACAGCCUUUGGAGCCAGCUUAUGCCUGCCUGCUGAAAUAGUUUUAUUCACUGAUAUAGUAUUGCUGUGCUUGAAUAAGAAAGCCUGCAACACGUGCCCUGAAAGCCAUGGCCUGUGCUUCCAUCUUACCAACAGUUGGGGAAAGCCAGAAGGGUUGGGUUUGCUCUUAGCCUAGGAGAGCCAUAGUCACCUCUCAGCUUUGGUUACAAAAUGCCUGGCAGAGCAAAGGCGUUUCAGGGCUGAUUUAAUCUCUCCUGCAUUUCAUUUUCAUGAGGGCACCUCAGCAUUUCACAGUGACAUCAGGACUGAGAUGUGGACACCUGCUUGUGCAAAACUCCCCCAGCCAGCACUGGCCAAGGGCCUGGGGUCUAGAGCAGUCUCGGCCUCAACCGGGAAGAAGGAAAUGGGGUUAGUGUAUCAUGCACUAACCAGUGCUUGGCACACCCCUCGAGAGAGAGAUAUCACUUCCCAAAGGGGCAUGUUCAAGACCUGCAUUUAUACAGCCAGGUGAGAUGAUAAGGAAACCCCACCCUGGCCUGACACUGUGCCAAUUGCUUGCCUUGCUCUUUAAUGGUAGCUUUAACAGGAGCUUGAACAGCAGAGAUGAGAACUGAUGCAACACUCCCAGCAGGGCAGUGGUGUUUUAUCACGUAUCUAUUGAGCAGGAGUAAAUUCCAGUGCUGAGCCAACACAUGGAUUGGAGGUGAGGUCAGAGUCCCUGUGAAACCCAGCGUCCUCUGAGCACUGCUUUAAUCUCUCACCUACCUUUGCUAUUUACCUGCAUUUCUUCAUUAAAGGUUUUCCUUUA